RNAcentral lists this long non-coding RNA (284 nucleotides) under Brassica napus (rape). RNAcentral's name for it is "long non-coding RNA (BNAP_LNC016589)". Lineage: Eukaryota; Viridiplantae; Streptophyta; Magnoliopsida; Brassicales; Brassicaceae. The record is from RNAcentral.
GAUGGUCGGCUUUUGGGUUCAGGAGUAUAUCUAUUUUCAUAUUAGGGUCUCUCUGGUUUUCGCUACACGGGUGGGGGUUGUUUUGCUUGUCGUAGAUCCUGUCGAUUAGGUCGGAGGAUCUCUUUCGGCUUCGAUUGGAGGUAAGGUGACUCUGUUGUGUGGAGUCCCGGUUCCUUGCGGUGUCGUCGUGAGUCGGACUCUUCUUCAUCGGCGUCUGGUGAGCUCCAGUGGGUUCUUCUACCACGGUGACGAGCCCUGAGUCUUGUAUGCAGGCGGUAGAUGGU